Long non-coding RNA from Carassius gibelio (silver crucian carp), 1091 nucleotides. RefSeq lists it as uncharacterized. The record is from RefSeq and is a predicted model, not a curated record. The transcript is spliced from 3 exons. Lineage: Eukaryota; Metazoa; Chordata; Actinopteri; Cypriniformes; Cyprinidae.
UGGACAGAAAACAGCGGUGAAGAGUGAAAGUGACUCCUCUGUCUGAGAAUUUGAAAAACCCGGCGAACAGAGAACGUUCUCAGAACAUUGGCUAACGUUCUCUCAAAGUUCGGAACAAACGUUCUACCACUGUUUGGACUCUCAUUCUUACGGCACCCAUUCACUACAGAGGAUCCAUUGGUGAGCAAGUGAUGUAAUGCUAAAUUUCUCAAAAUCUGUUCCGAUGAACAAACAAAUGAUCUAACCAUCACCUAUCUUAGGCCUGAAGGCAGUAUCAUUGGGAUGGUUGGAGGCUGCUGCUCAGUCUGUUUUGUUUCGGCAUCUUUUUCCCUUGUGCAAAUAGCAUCGUAAGCUCCUUCCUUCCAUUCAUCAAUCCAUCCAUAAGUCCACCCACAUGAAUAAGUAAGUAGGACUUGCUGCAGGACUUGUCAUGGCUUUCUGGAUUGGCAUUAAUGGCUUUUUGUUCCAGAUGCCCAGUUCUGUACAUGUUCUUCCACUUAACUUUACUAACACCGUACCAGCCGCCUCUGAGAACAUCACAGCCGUGCCUGCCGUCAUAGAUACUGCCAUGUGACUUGUAGAUCAGUACCAGCAUGCACUGUAUAGUAUAUGCUUAGGGAAAUAUUAAAUGCUUAUCCUCAUCUUCCAGCAAACCUGUAGGGCUGAAUGGGUUAUAUUCUCUGUACAGCUCCUCCAGAGCACACGGUAAGAUGGUCCUAUGGCUUUAAUUACAGUAAAAUGCAUUGUUGCUUUAGAUGAUUUUACUGUAGUAAACCUGCUUCUAACAGCUCGAUGGUCAUAAAGAAAUUAUUGGAAAUGUAAAGGAGGAUGCUAGAACAGAGGAAGAGUGCCAGUGUCACAUCCAGUGUUUCAUGUGGAGCAUAUAGAAAUAAAAUUAGAAAGGGUUGCCCUGCACACUGAGUAUUUUAAAUAUGAUGUAUGCUGAUGAUGUCAGUAUUACAGAGAUGUGUUCCUGUAAUAAUUUUACCAAGGUGUUCAUUUUUGUAAUAGACUGUAUGCUUCUGUCACAGUUGUAUUGUUUUGUAUGAGUAGUUGCUGUACAUAAAGACCAAAGAAAACUAUUUUUACAA